CCUACGGGGGGCAGCAGUGGGGGAUAUUGCACAAUGGGGGGAACCCUGAUGCAGCGACGCCGCGUGGGUGAAGGAGCGUUUCGGCGCGUAAAGCUCUAUCGGCAGGGAAGAAGCUGACGGUACCUGACCAGGAAGCCCCGGCUAACUACGUGCCAGCAGCCUCGGGAAUACGUAGGGGGCAAGCGUUAUCCGGAUUUACUGGGUGUAAAGGGGGCGCAGACGGCAAUGCAAGCCAGGAGUGAAAGCCCGGGGCCCAACCCCGGGACUGCUCUUGGAACUGCAUGGCUGGAGUACAGGAGGGGCAGGCGGAAUUCCUGGUGUAGCGGUGAAAUGCGUAGAUAGUAGGAGGAACACCGGUGGCGAAGGCGGCCUGCUGGACUGUGACUGACGUUGAGGCCCGAAGGCGUGGGGAGCAAACAGGAUUAGAUACCCUUGUAGUC
This 440-nucleotide ribosomal RNA is filed under the name uncultured bacterium. Its description in RNAcentral is "partial 16S ribosomal RNA". It matches the Rfam family "Bacterial small subunit ribosomal RNA", at positions 338 to 795 of the family's 1533-position model. The record is from RNAcentral.